This 87-nucleotide transfer RNA is filed under the name Bergeyella porcorum. Its description in RNAcentral is "tRNA-Leu". It matches the Rfam family "tRNA". Rfam says of the family: Transfer RNA (tRNA) molecules are approximately 80 nucleotides in length. Their secondary structure includes four short double-helical elements and three loops (D, anti-codon, and T loops). Further hydrogen bonds mediate the characteristic L-shaped molecular structure. tRNAs have two regions of fundamental functional importance: the anti-codon, which is responsible for specific mRNA codon recognition, and the 3' end, to which the tRNAs corresponding amino acid is attached (by aminoacyl-tRNA synthetases). tRNAs cope with the degeneracy of the genetic code in two manners: having more than one tRNA (with a specific anti-codon) for a particular amino acid; and 'wobble' base-pairing, i.e. permitting non-standard base-pairing at the 3rd anti-codon position. RNAcentral also lists the same sequence under 1 other name. Lineage: Bacteria; Pseudomonadati; Bacteroidota; Flavobacteriia; Flavobacteriales; Weeksellaceae. The record is from RNAcentral.
GCCCUGGUGGUGGAAUUGGUAGACACGCAGGACUUAAAAUCCUGUGUCCGCAAGGACGUACGGGUUCAAGUCCCGUCUGGGGUACAA